This is a long non-coding RNA of Triticum dicoccoides, 609 nucleotides long. RefSeq lists it as uncharacterized. The record is from RefSeq and is a predicted model, not a curated record. The transcript has 2 exons. NCBI's taxonomy places the organism in Eukaryota, Viridiplantae, Streptophyta, Magnoliopsida, Poales, Poaceae.
GCCACCCGUCGCCGUGAUGCACUCUCUUUUUCUUAUUAUUUAUUUAUUGUUUUAGCCGUGAUGCAUGCACGCAUGAGCCCGUCUACGCCUCUCGCGCGGGUGUCAUGUGGCCCGACGCACCGCUGCGUGUCGCUCCAUCAAACCUUAUCUUCUCGGCCAGCACAGCUCAUCCUCGUCUCUCCCUCACUCCCUCCCCCCUUCCAGCUAUAGAUGCAGAUGGCAUCGAGGGAGCACGCAAGGAGCCUCGCCACUACAAACGGAUCCGGCUGCCCUUGAUCGUCCCCGACCUCGUCUAUUCCUCCCGUCGCCGGAUUUGACGCCCGCCGGAUCCGUCCAGAUUUGCCGUCGCCGCUCCUCCCCGUGGCCGGAUUUGACGUGUCACCGCCGGAUCCGCCUCCAUCGGACCGGAUCCGGCCGCCCUCGACCGUCCCCGGCCUCGUCUGCUCCUCCUGUCGAGCGAUUUGAUGCGCCGCCUCCGGAUCUGCCUCCACCGGACCGGAUCCGUCCGGAUUCGACUGCCCUCGACCGUCUCCGUUCCCCUUCUAAUUAUCCUCACCUCUGUUUGCUGAUUUUUGUGUUCGCUUGUUGAAUAAUCGAUGUGUACCUAUA